UUAGAAACUCGAUCAUUUCCUGAGGCGCGCGACGUAAACAGAAUGCACGCGGCGGGAAUCUGGAUGUGUUUUUCCUGAAGCGUUUCCUCCGGUUUUCCAGGCUAAAUAUGAUCCCUGUUGCUGCUUCGGCCCGGGCUCGGAAGAAGAACCAGACGGUGUUCGGCCUCAUGGGAAAGUGCGUCGUAUUCGGGUGUCCGAACCGCAUGGGGAACUUUACCCGGGGCGUGUUGAGCCGAGCACCGAAAAGGUUCUUCAGGUUCCCCACAGCUCCGGACCGAGUCAAGGUCUGGCUGGCAGCGCUGAGGGAAACCGACAAGGACACGUUGGAGCAGCAUUUCAUCUGCGAAGACCACUUCCUGCCAGAAGACAUCUUCAAAAAUGGGAUCAGCAGCGACGCCAUUCCCAUCAUGCCGCCGUAUCUGGAUGGGCAGCGGCGCCUGAUCAGUCCUUGGAGCGGUGAUUCGUUGCAGGAAGAAGAGCAGUGGUCGAACGGAGGCUGGGAUAAUGAAGAGGAGGAAGAUGAAGAGGAGGCUCCUCGUGCAGCACCGGAACCACCUGAGCAGAAUCCAGACAGAGGUCCUGAGAAGCCACCAGAACCUAAUCUGAAGAGAGAUUUCUGCCCUGAAAAUGAAGCAACCAGCUGGUUCAUCAGAGAAGGUACUCCUCUGUCCCGGCUCACACGGGGCUUCCUGGAGCUGCUGAUGGCUGCUCCGGAUGCCUCCGUGGACAUCAAAGAGGCGGCAUCAAAGCUCCAGACCCACACACACCGAGUCAACACCGUCAUCGACGUCCUGCAGGGGAUCGGCCUCGUCCAGACGGACUCGGAUAACCGGGUCAGGUGGAUAGGAAGCAGUCCGAUCUUCAGCUUUCUGUGGAGGGACACGCUGAAGUUCCUGACGAUGCUGCAGAGGCUGAAGAUGAUUGAAGACGAGGUGGACAGACUCUUUAAAUCCUGCGCGCAGCAGCUCUUUGAGCUCACUGAGGAUGAGGAGAACUCUGCGCUGGCCUACGUCAGCUGCGAGGACAUCUGUCGCCUCAGAGACUUCCAGCAGCAGACGGUGAUUGCCCUCAGAUCUCCGCUGGAAACCAAGCUGGUCAUUCCUCCUCCUGAAGAGGACGGGAUUCAGAUGCAGCUGAAAUCAGAGAAUGGUCCCAUUUUGGCCCUGACCUGUAACGUAGGACCUUUGACCUCUGAGGCCUCAAACAGCAGCAGGGUCUUCUCAGCGCUGGAGCGUCGUGUCCGGCUGUACACAUUGAACGAAGGUACUUGGAGUGGGCUAAAACCCGAACAGAACGUUUCUCAGCCAGUUUCAUCAUUACUGUAUUAGGACAUUUUUUUCCCCAAGAUGAGGACCAGAUAAAAGGAAUGUGUGGAUUUAAAAUGUUAUUUUAUGAUUAACAGCUCAUUAGCAUCAUCACAUUUUAAAUCCCACAUGCUUCAUUUGAAGACCUCUGGAAUAUCUUUGGUAUCUCCUUAUUAUCUCUGCACCUAAAUAAAUUAGAAUAUCGUUGAAAAAUGCUAACAUUGAUUUAUUAUGCACAGUGAAAUAUUUCUGCCUUCAGCUCAUCCACGUUGUUGGUUCUGGUGUCUCUUAAUUUGCUCUUUACAUAUAUACUCUCUAGAGUUGAACCCGGCAUACCGGCUAGUUAAUCAGAUGGUCGUUAAUGGUAUUGGUAUUUUGGCAGUGGUGGCAGGUGCUAAGACCUGCUGCAAAAUUACCUAAAAUAUGACAUUUUUCCUUCAACUCAGUUUUCCAUCAGUAUACUUGGAUACAGCCUGCGGCGCCUGGGUCAAAGAAUCCCAGUUUUAUAAGAUGCUUCUUUCUAGUGUUGUCUCUGGUUCCACAUCCUCUCAAGGCCGUGGUCAUCCAUGCUACUUUCAUAUUCUUUUUUUUUUCUUCCUUCCACUCAACUUUCCACCCAUAUGCUUGGGUCAACUUUCAGGUAAGCAGGCUUCUCCAUGAUUAUGUAGCCCAUAACAUGGCUGAAAAUGAACAUUUCUGCAUUAAAAAUCCCUUCUUAUUGGACUCCUAAUCAUUUUAUAUUAGCUGUAAGCAAAGAUCCACGAAAUAAACAAAAAAAUCCAUAAAAUAUGUCAGUCUGUAAUAAGAAUAAAUAAUAAAUGGGUGAAAUAAGUAUAUUUUGCAAUGUUAUGUUGAUUUAAUAAGAUGCGCCUUUAUACAGUUUCAACUACAGCGAUCAACACACUACUGACUGUUCGUUCUUGCUCAUAAUUUUUUAUUCCUGUUAUUUUUCUUCUGUCCGACAUUCUACUUUAAAUCAUGAAGUGUAAAAAGAAAACUGGUCGGAUGUUCACGCUUUAUUCACCUGCCAACAGUGGAGAGCGAGAAGAUGCACAUCUAGGAAGAGGAAGAAUGAGGAUGAAGACCUUUGCUGCAGACUCGUGUGAUCAGGCUGAGGGGGACACCCAAUGAUAUCCCUAACUGAAGGAACUCUGAGCACAAGAGCAGGAAGAUGGAGGCGACCCGGACCGACGAGGUUGCUUAAAAAAUGAUGAAGGGACGGAGGUUGACGGAGGUUGACCGAGCACCAGGUCUGCAACUCUAUGGGGAGCAGAGAAAACGUUUGGAGGACUUUAUCCGCUUACUUAACUACAUAUGCAAACCUGGAUCGUAGUUUUUAUGUCUUUUCGUCGGGCAGAGCCGGAGGGUCUGGCAGCCAUUGCUUUUGGAAAAUAUAGGCCUGAAGGACCACAGCUUCUCACACCAAACUAAUUCAACUAUUAAGGGCUUCAUUCCUGUAGCUGUUUUCUUCAGUUAGACAGAAGAUAGAAACAGGACUCAGACUUUGACCUCCCAGAUGUUUUUAUCCUAACUAGAGAUGGUGACCGGCUGGUGACUGGAAUCAUUAGAUUUCUCCACAGUUCGGAGAGGUGAGCAGCUGGUCAGAAACCCAGGAGUCCGCUAUUUGUCCCAUUGGUGGACGCAACAGAUGAAGCAUCAGCAGGAGGCACCAACAGGUCACACUCUUCAGUGUGGACGCUGUUAAUGAGUGAGGACAAUCAAAAUAUUGCUGUUUAUUUUAGUAUCAGUUUGUGAGAAGCUGUUUAAAUGGAAACCGAAACAUGUCAGUAGUUUAUUCGGGCUGCGGGAUGGCCAGAGAGAGCAAGACUUUCAUCAGAUAACAGGAAGGGUGAACAUAUUACAGAAAACUUCCUCUGUUUUAUUCUUUUGACCUUUGAGGAACAUGCUGGUUUUGAAAGUGGUGGGAGCCUUUGUAGAGUUAAGAUAUCAAUCACACACACACACCCACACACACAGUCGAUGCUAAAGCCAGUUUAAAAGGUGAAUAUCCUCCACAAUCAUUUUAGCCAGAAACUGUGUUUUAGAGAGAGAUUGGACUCCUCCAGUAUCUGGAUCAGCAGGCCGAGACCCGACAGCUGUCUCUGAUCCGGACCUGUGUAACAUCUCUGUUAUGUUUUAUUUUCCAUCUUUUGCUUUAUAAAAACAGGAAGCAGGAGCAGAAAUACUAGGUCCGCUUGUUUCCGUUUCUCCUACCUGCUGCUUUUGCUCUUUCAUCUAGUUGAGUUUUGGGUUGAGAUUCUCAGAUAUCCGGAUGGGAUCUGCAGGAUAACCAGAAAUGCUCCUGCAGGAGAAACACUGAACUGAACUGAGCCUUUGUGCGAAAGAUCGGAUCUGAACAGUAAAAUGAUUCUUUUUGACCCACCAGAGCUGGAAAUAGAUUAGUGUUUUGAGCUUCUCUGUUUAUUUUCUGCCAUUUUGGUUCUAAAACUCACAAAAUACAUAGAAACCAAUAAAGGAUUUAACUGCA
Girardinichthys multiradiatus is the source of this 3792-nucleotide RNA transcript. It is a transcript of the gene named transcription factor E2F3-like, with no coding region annotated. Lineage: Eukaryota; Metazoa; Chordata; Actinopteri; Cyprinodontiformes; Goodeidae. The transcript has 9 exons. The record is from RefSeq and is a predicted model, not a curated record.